RNAcentral lists this ribosomal RNA (106 nucleotides) under Meriones unguiculatus (Mongolian gerbil). The record is from RNAcentral. Lineage: Eukaryota; Metazoa; Chordata; Mammalia; Rodentia; Muridae.
GCCAUAGUACUCUGAACAUGCCUCAAUUUGUCUGACCUUGGAAACUAAACAGGUUCACCCUGAUAAGUAGCUGGGUGGGAGAAAUUAAUUACAAUCUGAGCAGGCU